GAAGUGUUCUUGCACAAAAUCAACCGAAGUUAACCGUCCACCUGAAUCAAUUAAAAGCUUUUGUCUUAGAAAAUGAAGUGAGUCCCAAGUAGGCACGAAAAUCUUAGUGAAACAAAGUAUCAAACGUGUGGUAGGCGGCUAUAAUAAACAAGUACAAAGUUGAAUGCAAGCCAUCAAAACUAUCCCAAGAAUCGUACAAAAGACGUCUUUGGUGACAUUUAUCAAACACUCUGUGAGCAAGACAAUAUAUUAGUAGUUAGGAAAGUUCAAGCCCAUAGGAAAUUGCAAAGUCUUCUAACAUAGAUUCCAACAUUGGCAAAGAAUGUCAAAGAGGAAAAAGAACAAACACAUGGUAGGCAUAUAACAAAAUAAUUUUGAAGAUAAAACAAAGGCCCACACAAGCUUUACCAAAACACAACCCAACAAAGACAAAUGAUAUUGUGACAUAGUCCUAAACAAAAUUACCAAAAGAAGUUCAAAUUACACUACCAAAAAAAAAAAAACUCUGCAUUGUAAAGGAAUGUACCUUCUUUGAUGAACUAGUCACUAGCUUUUCACUUCUAAGAUAUGGGUUGUUAUAGAUGUAAUAACUUAUAAAUAUGGGGUAGUAUGAGAGAAUUGGUGUGUGCAAGUGUGGGGAAAAGAGGAGGAGAUUUGAAAGGAAAGAAGAGUAUAAGGAUUUUGUGGGUAGGGAAAUGAAAAGAAAAAGAUUGUGUUGUUGUUUUAAGGAUAAAAACGUGUUGGGCGCCGUGGCGCCCAUGUUACUGAAUUUUUUUUUUUAUUAUUUACUUCCUACCUAUUCCUUUCCUAUAUUGAUUAGAGUGUUGAUGCAACCAUUUUGAGCAUGACCUACAAAAUAAAUAAAAAAAAAACGAACUUAUCAAAUUGGCGUAAGAGGAAAAAAACAUGUCAAAAUAAUGAAAAGAAACUUAAGGAAUAGAACUUGAUUGCCUGCCAAUAAGUGCUUCUUUUACGUCUUUAGCUGGACGUAGAUGUGGUUUCAAGUUGCUUCAUCAAGGGUAAUUUCUUCCACAUCCCAGUUUUUCUCUCCAUAGUAAUGUUUGAGGCGUUGCCCAUUUGCCUGAAAGGUAGACCCAUCCUUGCCUACUAAUUCCAUUGCACCAUAAGGGAACACCUUGCGGAUUACAAAUGGUCCUGAACACCGGAAUUUGAGCUUACCGGGAAAGAGUUUCAAGCAAGAAUUGAAUAGAAGAACCGGUUCUCCUGCCUUAGAAUCCCUCCUUAGUAUUCUCUUGCCAUGCCACAUCUUUGUCCGUUCUUUAUAUAUCUUUGCAUUUUCAUAUGCAUCGUUCCGGAAUUCCUCCAACUCAUCAAGCUGCAACAAGCGUUGUGGACCCGCCAAUUUCAUAUCUAAAUUCAAUUUCUUCACAAUCCAAUAAGCUCGAUGCUCCAAUUCUACCGGUAGAUGACAAGCUUUCCCGAAUACCAGACGGUAGGGUGACAUUCCAAUUGGAGUUUUAAAUGCUGUUCGGUAUGCCCAAAGAGCGUCAUCUAGUUUGAGAGACCAGUCC
RNAcentral lists this long non-coding RNA (1532 nucleotides) under Olea europaea subsp. europaea. The record is from RNAcentral. Lineage: Eukaryota; Viridiplantae; Streptophyta; Magnoliopsida; Lamiales; Oleaceae.